Molecule: long non-coding RNA, 290 nt
Filed under: Chinchilla lanigera (long-tailed chinchilla)
Lineage: Eukaryota; Metazoa; Chordata; Mammalia; Rodentia; Chinchillidae
Description: lncRNA (ENSCLAG00000025481.1)
Source: RNAcentral
UGGUUUUCCCAUAUUAUCUCCUGUCGUUUCAGAGUCACUGGUUCCUGGGUAUAUUAGUGGGUCGAUAUUGGGUCCUAGACAGAGAUCUCAGGGCUACUGUGAAUGGACCCCCACCAAAGGCAGCUGCACUGAUUGUGGCAAUGACAGUGACAUGUCUAUGUUCAUCUCCUGAUAGUCACCGAGCACUACUGCGUCAGCCAAGCACGCAGGCGACAUUGGCCUUGAAGAGCCUUGCCAAGGGCCUUGUCAUCCCCGGGGCUGACAGGCAACUCCUCCUUGCUCACCGCUGA